UUUUGGUGGCCCUCACAUUUUCCUUUAUACUCAUCUCUAAAUAUAUAAACGACACGUGCUGCUGCAACUCUCAUCCUCAUCAGUGAUUUCCCGGUGAAAUUGAGGAAAUCAGUCUACCUCUAAAUCAGUCAGCAGGCAAUCGAGUCACGUUUUUGCUCUGGUGUGAACUAUGACGUAUCAUUGUCUUACUUGAAAAUUUUCUGGAAGACUCAUUGCUGAAACUGAGGCAAAUGACAAGGUUGUUCUGAAUAAUCUGCGACGUAAGUAUACUUUUUUGUUCAACUGUUUCGUGCAUGUUUACAAUAGGCCUACUUUCCAUGAUAGUCAUCAGUAGUGCAAUGUUUGUAACAAAUGACGUUUACUUUGUCCAACUGGUAAUGCAUCUGCAAAGAUAUAUAAAUAAAGUAUUAAUUGAGUUAUUGUAAUAGCUUUUGGAUGAGUUUCUUUUUCCCUCAUACAAUUUUUCGAUGCACUUUUUGUUAUUACUGGUGUGCCUGAUGAUUACUAUGAGACUAAUAUCUUUAUAAUGUUCAAAAAGUUUUAGCUGGAGGACAAUCUUUUUUAGGCAUUCUGUUUGGUGGGAAAACUACAAACUGCACUUGUUAACUGUAAAGCAUCUAUUCAGGUUAGUAUUCUGCAGUACGGAACAAAAUUCUCUCUUAAGAUUUGUGAUGCUUAGUUUCACUUUCGUAGCAAAAACGCUUAGUUAUGGAAUUGUUAGCGAGUUUUCCUUAAACCAGUAAGUUCUAGCUGGUGAAAUUACUCUUCCUUUCCAAUCGUUUACUACUGCUUUGGUUUAUUGCAUUAAGCAUUUUGGUGCCAUUACAUACUUUGGUGUUGUGUUCUAAAAUCUAUGAACUGCUGGAAAAAUUUCGACAUCAUCACUGCACAGGUAACCUAUAUUGAAUUGGUUACUUUACUUGCAACAUUUUCCUUCUGACGAAAUUUGCACAUUCAAUUAUUAAACAACUGAUUUAUCAUUUUCCUUGUAGAUUUCUGAAAGAAUGAGCAUUGAAUCUAACCAUAAGCUAAAUUACAGUUCCCUACACGGCACAACCAUUGUAGAACAAGCUAUAUUGCCAUAACAAAGACUUACACGUUAAACCGCUUGUUCAGCAAUGGUUCUGCUAUCAAGAAAACUUUGGUUCAUGCUGGCUCAACAUUUUCUUUUGCUUAUUGAGCCAGCUCCACUACUCCAUGUCAGGGAGUAAACACAGAGUAAUAAUGUAUGAUCCUUGCACCAUAUUAGUCAUCAUUAUAAGCUAGAAAGGAGGCUCCUUAUUCUCCACUUCAUCAAUGAAAUUAUCCAAGAAGCUCAGAUGAUGAGGGUGAAGAAGAAGAAUCCGAAAAGUCAAAAUAUGAGGUACAUGACGAAAAUACGGAGGACAGUGGGCAGGUAUUAAUAGUUUUUGCAAUUCUACAGUUUUUUAUUGACUCGAUGCUUGUGAGUACAUCUAAUAGGUCUAAGUUUGUGUUGACUAGCCAAUUACGGGUUACAGUUCCCCCUUCUUGGAUAGUGGUAAAACAAUAGUGUUAGAGAAUUGCUCUUUCUUCUACCUUGUGCAGAUCAAUCGAGACAUGCUCAGCUCGAUCAAUACUUUCGCCACACUUAUCUGCUGUUGGAAACUGAAAUUUAAAAUGCAAAGGACAAACAAGUUUCUCCACUUCACUUUUGAGCAAAACAUAUUGUAACAACAUUUACAGAUUUAUCUAUAAUCUAUAAUGUAUAAUAAACAAUAACUUUGUUCAUGACAUUAAUAAAACAAGUUAACUUCGUUCAUGUUGGGCCCGGGCUAUCCUUACUAGUAUACACAUAAGUUGCCAUCAGUUCUUAGAUCACAAGGAUUUCUAACAGCAUGAAGGAUUUGUUAGAGUUUGCCCUGAAUUUCUUAUCUUAUUUGAAUUUUACCAUAAUUGUGUUUUACUUCAAAAAGAAUUUCUGGUUAGAAAAAAUUUUCUUUGUGGAAAAGGACUCUACCAUAUUUAUCCCUUUUCUUGAAGGAGAUGUUUUAGACUUUUAUAAAUAGAAAAUCUUUCUUUUCAUACAAUAACACAAUAGCAUUCACAAUGUAGUCGUUUAGAGAGUUUUGUUUAGGGGAAGAUUUUUCUCUCAACAGUUUUUAAGCUUUUAUAUUAAUUUUUCAUAUAUAGAUCAAUUGAUCAAACCAUAUAAUUAGAAUAUUAUGCCUUUUUUAGCAUAUUUUUCUUUGUGUCUGAUUUAUUAUAGUUUAAGGUUUGAAAUUAUUAGCUUCCGCAUGACGCGCUG
This is a long non-coding RNA of Lycium barbarum (goji berry), 2266 nucleotides long. RefSeq lists it as uncharacterized. The transcript is spliced from 3 exons. The record is from RefSeq and is a predicted model, not a curated record. Lineage: Eukaryota; Viridiplantae; Streptophyta; Magnoliopsida; Solanales; Solanaceae.